GUUGGUGGAAAAAUGGACCACCCCACAAAUGUAAUUAUAGCACCCAAAUCCAUCAGCAAGCUCGAGCUCAUCCUAAGUGAUCGGGCUCUUCCGCUCUCGAGCUCAUCCUAAGUGAUCGGGCUCUUCCGCUCUCGAGCUCAUCCUAAGUGAUCCGGCUCUUCCGCUCUCGAGCUCAUCCUAAGUGAUCGAGCUCUUCCGCUCUCGAGCUCAUAGACCAGAGAGCCGAGACCAGAGAGCCGAGACCAGAAGGCCGAGACCAGAGAGCCGAGACCAGAAGGCCGAGCACAGCAGGCCAAGCCCAU
This 302-nucleotide long non-coding RNA is filed under the name Phoenix dactylifera (date palm). Its description in RNAcentral is "long non-coding RNA (PDAC_LNC001225)". The record is from RNAcentral. Lineage: Eukaryota; Viridiplantae; Streptophyta; Magnoliopsida; Arecales; Arecaceae.